CCAGCAUGUAAACCUUUCUGGAGAGCAAUGAUCUGCUGCUGCUGCUGUUCAAUGAGAGUGGUUAGUGCUUUGACAUGCUUCAAGGCCCAAAUCCAGAUGGGGAGGAUGGAGUGUCUGGGACCAGCAAAGAUGCUCCAUGUUGUCCUGGCCCUGUCUUGCUGAAGCAGCUGAACCUUACUAUAUUGCUAGAAGAGUCCUCUUGUGAGUUGAGCCAUGCCUGCUUGUUACUUACAUUAGAGAAUUAAGACUUCAGAGGCACAUUUGGUGGCAACAUGAGAGAGGGCCUUCUUGGUGGCUGCUCCCAGGUUGUGGAAUGCCUUGCCAAAGGAGGCUAGGAUCACUCCCUCUCUGCUGAUCUUCCACUGG
Long non-coding RNA from Elgaria multicarinata webbii, 366 nucleotides. RefSeq lists it as uncharacterized. Lineage: Eukaryota; Metazoa; Chordata; Lepidosauria; Squamata; Anguidae. The transcript is spliced from 3 exons. The record is from RefSeq and is a predicted model, not a curated record.